This 305-nucleotide ribosomal RNA is filed under the name uncultured bacterium. RNAcentral's name for it is "bacterial SSU rRNA". It matches the Rfam family "Bacterial small subunit ribosomal RNA", at positions 338 to 658 of the family's 1533-position model. The record is from RNAcentral.
CCUACGGGGUGCAGCAGUGGGGAAUAUUGGGCAAUGGGCGCAAGCCUGACCCAGCAACGCCGCGUGAAGGAAGAAGGCUUUCGGGUUGUAAACUUCUUUUGUCAGGGACGAAGCAAGUGACGGUACCUGACGAAUAAGCCACGGCUAACUACGUGCCAGCAGCCGCGGUAAUACGGAGGAUGCGAGUGUUAUCCGGAUUUAUUGGGUUUAAAGGGUGCGCAGGCGGUCUGUUAAGUCAGCGGUCAAAGCCCGGGGCUCAACCCCGGCCCGCCGUUGAAACUGGCAGUCUCGAGUUGGAGAGAAGG